Molecule: non-coding RNA, 85 nt
Organism: Felis catus (domestic cat)
Lineage: Eukaryota; Metazoa; Chordata; Mammalia; Carnivora; Felidae
Source: Rfam
GCCUGGGUGGCUCAGUUGGUUAGGCAACUGACUUCAGCUCAGGUCAUGAUCUCGCGGUUCGUGGGUUCGAGCCCCGCGUCGGGCU